CAUGGCGGGGAAGCGGACAAGGCCGGGUGGCCUGGCGUCUACAGGGAAGGGGGCGGGACUAGACGCGGCCUUGACAACUAGUAGAGCGCCUCGGGCUGUGCGGCUCGAGACUACAUUUCCCAGGGGGCCCCGCGCGGAGCGGGCGGAAAAGAGAGCGUUUCGGGUCCAGUGCGCAGGUGCGAAAGCCAUCUUUGGUUAUAUAAGGGAGGUUCAGGAGGCCAUUCGUUCUUUCGCGUCCGCGGCGCUGUGAGUGUGGUGGUUCCGCAGGUUGCAGUCAGGCUUCGUACGCUGUUGUCCUUCCCGUGAGUUCCCGUUUUGUGUGUGGUUAGAGCAGCCAGCGGGUACAGAAUGGAUUUUGGAGGAGGGAGUCACCACUGGACCUCCAAGGAAGCCACGUGCAGACAUCUACAACCUUCGAUCUCUUGACGAGUUUAUUGUUGGCUAAAACCAACCAGGAUGAAGGCGGGCGUUGGAAGUAGAAUAUAUAUAUAUAUACAUAUAAAAUUGGUUGGGAGCCACGUGUACCAGUGUGUUGAUCUUGGCUUGAUUCAGUCUGCCUAGUAACAGAAACUGGCGAUGGUAUAUGAGAGGAGCCCUCUGGAAAGAAAAGGACAGACCCUGUGCUUUCAUGAAAGUGAAGAUCUGGCUGAACCAGUUCCACAAGGUUACUGUAUACAUAGCCUGAGUUUAAAAGGCUGUGCCCAUUUGAAGAAUGUCAUUGUUAGACUUUGGUGAAAUUUCUAACUGCCUACCUGGAUAAAGAAAAUAAAAUCUUUUAAAUCAAAA
This is a long non-coding RNA of Pongo pygmaeus (Bornean orangutan), 786 nucleotides long. RefSeq lists it as uncharacterized. The record is from RefSeq and is a predicted model, not a curated record. NCBI's taxonomy places the organism in Eukaryota, Metazoa, Chordata, Mammalia, Primates, Hominidae. The transcript has 5 exons.